This 66-nucleotide transfer RNA is filed under the name Margattea multipunctata. RNAcentral describes it as "tRNA-Ala". Lineage: Eukaryota; Metazoa; Arthropoda; Insecta; Blattodea; Pseudophyllodromiidae. The record is from RNAcentral.
AGGAUAAUAGUUAAACAUAACAGUUGAGUUGCAUUCAAAAAGUACUGAUAUUUUCAGUUUAUCUUU